AUUGAACGCUGGCGGCAUGCUUUACACAUGCAAGUCGAACGGCAGCACGGGUGCUUGCACCUGGUGGCGAGUGGCGAACGGGUGAGUAAUACAUCGGAACGUACCUUAUCGUGGGGGAUAACGCAGCGAAAGCUGUGCUAAUACCGCAUACGCCCUGAGGGGGAAAGCGGGGGAUCGCAAAACCUCGCGCGAUUAGAGCGGCCGAUGCCUGAUUAGCUUGUUGGUGGGGUAAAAGCCCACCAAGGCGACGGUCAGUAGCUGGUCUGAGAGGACGAUCAGCCACACUGGGACUGAGACACGGACCAGACUCCUACGGGAGGCAGCAGUGGGGAAUUUUGGACAAUGGGGGCAACCCUGAUCCAGCAAUGCCGCGUGAGUGAAGAAGGCCUUCGGGUUGUAAAGCUCUUUUGUCAGGGAAGAAACACCGGCUCUAACACAGUCCGGGAAUGACGGUACCUGAAGAAUAAGCACCGGCUAACUACGUGCCAGCCGCCGCCGUAA
Molecule: ribosomal RNA, 501 nt
Filed under: uncultured bacterium
Lineage: Bacteria
Description: partial 16S ribosomal RNA
Rfam family: Bacterial small subunit ribosomal RNA
Source: RNAcentral